UCUCCUGGAAAACGGGUGGUAAUGCCGGAUGCUCCAGUUGAUCGCAUGGUCUUCUGGGAAAGCUUUCGCGGUAUGGGAUGGGGUCGCGUCCUAUCAGCUUGACGGCGGGGUAACGGCCCACCGUGGCUUCGACGGGUAGCCGGCCUGAGAGGGCGACCGGCCACAUUGGGACUGAGAUACGGCCCAGACUCCUACGGGAGGCAGCAGUGGGGAAUAUUGCACAAUGGGCGCAAGCCUGAUGCAGCGACGCCGCGUGAGGGAUGGAGGCCUUCGGGUUGUAAACCUCUUUUAUCGGGGAGCAAGCGAGAGUGAGUUUACCCGUUGAAUAAGCACCGGCUAACUACGUGCCAGCAGCCGCGGUAAUACGUAGGGUGCAAGCGUUAUCCGGAAUUAUUGGGCGUAAAGGGCUCGUAGGCGGUUCGUCGCGUCCGGUGUGAAAGUCCAUCGCUUAACGGUGGAUCCGCGCCGGGUACGGGCGGGCUUGAGUGCGGUAGGGGAGACUGGAAUUCCCGGUGUAACGGUGGAAUGUGUAGAUAUCGGAA
This 542-nucleotide ribosomal RNA is filed under the name Bifidobacterium longum subsp. suillum. Its description in RNAcentral is "bacterial SSU rRNA". It matches the Rfam family "Bacterial small subunit ribosomal RNA", at positions 146 to 702 of the family's 1533-position model. Lineage: Bacteria; Bacillati; Actinomycetota; Actinomycetes; Bifidobacteriales; Bifidobacteriaceae. The record is from RNAcentral.